RNAcentral lists this small RNA (868 nucleotides) under Pan troglodytes (chimpanzee). RNAcentral describes it as "retained intron". The record is from RNAcentral. Lineage: Eukaryota; Metazoa; Chordata; Mammalia; Primates; Hominidae.
UCCUGAAGUGCUCCGAAGACAACCCGCUCUUUGCCGGCAUCGACUGUGAGGUGUUCGAGUCACGCUUCCCCACCACCAUGGCCUUGUCCGUGCUCGUGACCAUUGAAAUGUGCAAUGCCCUCAACAGCGUCUCGGAGAACCAGUCGCUGCUGCGGAUGCCGCCCUGGAUGAACCCCUGGCUGCUGGCGGCUGUGGCCAUGUCCAUGGCCCUGCACUUCCUCAUCCUGCUCGUGCCGCCCCUGCCUCUCAUUUUCCAGGUGACCCCACUGAGCGGGCGCCAGUGGGUGGUGGUGCUCCAGAUAUCUCUGCCUGUCAUCCUGCUGGAUGAGGCCCUCAAGUACCUGUCCCGGAACCACACGCACGGUGAGUGGGAGGCCCCGUCCUGCCUCCAGCCUGCCUCCCCGCCCGCCUCUGCUCCUGGGCUGCAGUGGACGCUGUGGGUGUGGAGUGCAGAGCCUCUCUGUCUGCACAUGGGGGAGGCGUUCUCGGAUCACCAAGUGGAGGGUGUGAAGGGGCUCUGGUGGCUGGGUCCUAAGGUGUCUGCAGGGUCUUGCACUGCAGGGGACCUGGGCUCACUGGGCCAGCAACGGGAGCACCUCUUGGGCCACACUGCCUCACCGUCUUCACCUGCCACCCCCUACAUGGCCAGGGCACUGUGUGCUCUUCUGGGCCUCGGCCUCUGACCCCUCUGCACCCAGCCUGUCUUUAUCCAGGCCUUCUCAGGACAGUCUCACAGGCCUGGAGUAGGCAGCCGCUGACCACCUCUUGGACCCCAGACCACACCGGGUUGGCCUCUUUGGUGUCACCUUGUGGGUGGGUCAAGGGGAGGGUUGUUUCUGAGCUCACAGCUCUGGGUCUGCCUUAACCC